UGUUUUGUAAGUUUAUUGUGACCUU
This 25-nucleotide non-coding RNA is filed under the name Mus musculus (house mouse). Lineage: Eukaryota; Metazoa; Chordata; Mammalia; Rodentia; Muridae. The record is from RNAcentral.